GUUUCCCUAGUGUAGCGGUUAUCACUGUCACCUCCCACAAGAAAGAUCCCUGGUUCAUAAACCCAGAUGGAAACAC
Molecule: transfer RNA, 76 nt
Filed under: Cervus elaphus hippelaphus
Lineage: Eukaryota; Metazoa; Chordata; Mammalia; Artiodactyla; Cervidae
Description: tRNA-Val
Source: RNAcentral